This 300-nucleotide ribosomal RNA is filed under the name Flabelligena sp. B MB. Its description in RNAcentral is "partial 16S ribosomal RNA". Lineage: Eukaryota; Metazoa; Annelida; Polychaeta; Terebellida; Acrocirridae. The record is from RNAcentral.
CGUGCUAAGGUAGCAUAAUCAUUUGCCUCUUAAUUAGAGGCUUGUAUGAAUGGUUAAACGAAUUUUCACCUGUCUCCUUAAAAAAUAUAAAAAUUAAUUUUUUAGUGAAAAAGCUAAAAUAUAUAUAAAGGACAAAAAGACCCUGUAGAACUUUAUUUACGUAUAUUUAUAUAUUUUAUAUAUUAUUAAAAUAUAAAUAAACUACAAUUUGGUUGGGGUGACUUAGGAAUAUAAAAAACUUCCUAUAUAUAAUAGAAUUAUAAUUCUAAUCAAUGAACCAUAUUAUAUGUCAAUAAGAAU